Molecule: ribosomal RNA, 466 nt
Filed under: uncultured bacterium
Lineage: Bacteria
Description: partial 16S ribosomal RNA
Rfam family: Bacterial small subunit ribosomal RNA
Source: RNAcentral
GAUGAACGCUGGCGGCGUGCUUAACACAUGCAAGUCGAACGAUGAAGCCCAGCUUGCUGGGUGGAUUAGUGGCGAACGGGUGAGUAACACGUGAGUAACCUGCCCUUAACUCUGGGAUAAGCCUGGUAAACUGGGUCUAAUACCGGAUAGGAGCGUCCACCGCAUGGUGGGUGUUGGAAAGAUUUAUCGGUUUUGGAUGGACUCGCGGCCUAUCAGCUUGUUGGUGAGGUAAUGGCUCACCAAGGCGACGACGGGUAGCCGGCCUGUGAGGGUGACCGGCCACACUGGGACUGAGACACGGCCCAGACGCCUACGGGAGGCAGCAGUGGGGAAUAUUGCACAAUGGGCGAAAGCCUGAUGCAGCGACGCCGCGUGAGGGAUGACGGCCUUCGGGUUGUAAACCUCUUUCAGUAGGGAAGAAGCGAAAGUGACGGUACCUGCAGAAGAAGCACCGGCUAACUACGUG